UCCGGGGAGGGUCAUUGGAAACUAUUUUACUUGAGUGCAGAAGAGGAGAGUGGAAUUCCAUGUGUAGCGGUGAAAUGCGCAGAGAUAUGGAGGAACACCAGUGGCGAAGGCGGCUCUCUGGUCUGUAACUGACGCUGAGGUGCGAAAGCGGGGGGAUCAAACAGGAUUAGAUACCCUGGUAGUCCACGCCGUAAACGAUGAGUGAUAAGUGUUGGGGGGUUUCCGCCCCUCAGUGCUGCAGCUAACGCAUUAAGCACUCCGCCUGGGGAGUACGACCGCAAGGUUGAAACUCAAAGGAAUUGACGGGGACCCGCACAAGCGGUGGAGCAUGUGGUUUAAUUUGAAGCAACGCGAAGAACCUUACCAAAUCUUGACAUCCUAAUGAUCGCCAUAGAGAUAUGGUUUCCCUUUUGGGCAGAGAGACAGGUGGUGCAUGGUGUCUU
Molecule: ribosomal RNA, 443 nt
Filed under: uncultured marine bacterium
Lineage: Bacteria
Description: bacterial SSU rRNA
Rfam family: Bacterial small subunit ribosomal RNA
Source: RNAcentral